UACGUAGGGUGCAAGCGUUGUCCGGAAUUAUUGGGCGUAAAGAGCUCGUAGGCGGUUCGUCGCGUCGGCUGUGAAAUCCCGAGGCUCAACCUCGGGUCUGCAGUCGAUACGGGCGGACUGGAGUACUGCAGGGGAGACUGGAAUUCCUGGUGUAGCGGUGAAAUGCGCAGAUAUCAGGAGGAACACCGAUGGCGAAGGCAGGUCUCUGGGCUGACACUGACGCUCAUGCACGAAAGCGUGGGGAGCAAACAGG
This 253-nucleotide ribosomal RNA is filed under the name uncultured bacterium. RNAcentral describes it as "partial 16S ribosomal RNA". It matches the Rfam family "Bacterial small subunit ribosomal RNA", at positions 524 to 776 of the family's 1533-position model. The record is from RNAcentral.